GGAGUGGUGGCUUAGUGGUUAGAGCAGGAGGUUUGUGUUCCUGACACAAGGGGCUGGGUUCAUAUCCCACAGAUUGCCACUCUG
Molecule: non-coding RNA, 84 nt
Organism: Crenichthys baileyi (White River springfish)
Lineage: Eukaryota; Metazoa; Chordata; Actinopteri; Cyprinodontiformes; Goodeidae
Source: the annotation of a GenBank genome assembly